CCUACGGGAGGCAGCAGUAGGGAAUUUUCGGCAAUGGGGGCAACCCUGACCGAGCAACGCCGCGUGAGUGAAGAAGGUUUUCGGAUCGUAAAGCUCUGUUGUAAGAGAAGAACGUGUGUGAGAGUGGAAAGUUCACACAGUGACGGUAACGUACCAGAAAGGGACGGCUAACUCCGUGCCAGCAGCCGCGGUAAUACGUAGGUCCCGAGCGUUAUCAGGAUUUAUUGGGCGUAAAGCGAGCGCAGGCGGUUGGAUAAGUCUGAAGUUAAAGGCUGUGGCUUAACCCUAGUAUGCUUUGGAAACUGUUCAACUUGCGUGCAGAAGGGGCGAGUGGACUUCCAUUUGUCGCGGU
Molecule: ribosomal RNA, 352 nt
Filed under: uncultured bacterium
Lineage: Bacteria
Description: partial 16S ribosomal RNA
Rfam family: Bacterial small subunit ribosomal RNA
Source: RNAcentral